RNAcentral lists this ribosomal RNA (573 nucleotides) under uncultured euryarchaeote. RNAcentral describes it as "bacterial SSU rRNA". It matches the Rfam family "Archaeal small subunit ribosomal RNA", at positions 734 to 1307 of the family's 1478-position model. The record is from RNAcentral. Lineage: Archaea; Methanobacteriati; Methanobacteriota.
UACCCCGGUAGUCCCAGCUGUAAAUAAUGCGGACUGUGGUGUUGCUUCAGAGUUAAUCUGCAGCAGUGCUGUAGCGUAGGUGUUAAGUCCGCCGCCUGGGGAGUACGGCCGCAAGGUUGAAACUUAAAGGAAUUGGCGGGGGAGCACCACAAGGGGUGGAUGCUACGGUCUAAUUGGAUACAACGCCGUGAACUUCACCAAGGGCGACGGCAGAAUGAAGGCCAGACUAAAGAUCUUGCCUAACAAGCCGAGAGGUGUUGCAUGGCCAUCGUCAGCUCGUGGCGUGAGUUGUCUGGUUAAGUCCAGCGACGAGCGAGACCCAUACCAUUAAUUGCUACUUUUACCUUUAGUAAGAGGCACCUUAAUGGGACUGCCCGCGUUAAGUGGGAGGAAGGAGUGGGCGACGGUAGGUCAGUAUGGCCCGAAUCCCUUGGGCUACACGCGGCAUACAAUGGCUGGAACAAUGGGUUGCUACUCCGAAAGGAGGCGCUAAUCCCCUAAAUCCAGUCUUAGUUCGGAUUGAGGGUUGAAACUCACCCUCAUGAAGCUGGAAUCCCUAGUAAUCGCGUGUCA